Molecule: ribosomal RNA, 554 nt
Filed under: uncultured Burkholderia sp.
Lineage: Bacteria; Pseudomonadati; Pseudomonadota; Betaproteobacteria; Burkholderiales; Burkholderiaceae
Description: bacterial SSU rRNA
Rfam family: Bacterial small subunit ribosomal RNA
Source: RNAcentral
CGGCAGCACGGGGGCAACCCUGGUGGCGAGUGGCGAACGGGUGAGUAAUACAUCGGAACGUGUCCUGUAGUGGGGGAUAGCCCGGCGAAAGCCGGAUUAAUACCGCAUACGCUCUACGGAGGAAAGGGGGGGAUCUCAGGACCUCUCGUUAUAGGGGCGGCCGAUGGCAGAUUAGCUAGUUGGUGGGGUAAAGGCCUACCAAGGCGACGAUCUGUAGCUGGUCUGAGAGGACGACCAGCCACACUGGGACUGAGACACGGCCCAGACUCCUACGGGAGGCAGCAGUGGGGAAUUUUGGACAAUGGGCGCAAGCCUGAUCCAGCAAUGCCGCGUGUGUGAAGAAGGCCUUCGGGUUGUAAAGCACUUUUGUCCGGAAAGAAAUCCUUUGAGCUAAUACCUCGGGGGGAUGACGGUACCGGAAGAAUAAGCACCGGCUAACUACGUGCCAGCAGCCGCGGUAAUACGUAGGGUGCAAGCGUUAAUCGGAAUUACUGGGCGUAAAGCGUGCGCAGGCGGUUCGCUAAGACAGAUGUGAAAUCCCCGGGCUUAACCUG